This 430-nucleotide long non-coding RNA is filed under the name Cricetulus griseus (Chinese hamster). RNAcentral describes it as "lncRNA (ENSCGRG00015040479.1)". The record is from RNAcentral. Lineage: Eukaryota; Metazoa; Chordata; Mammalia; Rodentia; Cricetidae.
GGAUAAUCAACAUCGUGUGUGCUGCUGCUCUUCUUCAAAAGUGACACUGAAUGAAGCAAGGCACAAUCUCCUAAAACCCAAGCCCAUGUCCUUUUGCUUGCAGUGUGUCGAUGGGGGGUGAUGAACCCCAUCUCUGUCCUGCUACUUGUCCUGGAUAUCUGAUUUCCACUCUUUUAUUUUCCUUUUUCCAGGAAUGGAUAAGGAAUCCAAAGCUGAGAUCCCUCUUCAAGUUAAAAUGCCAAAGGGUCAGUGUUUCUUCUUUCUGGUGUCAGAUGACAUGGAAGCCAGGUGUGACAGCACAUCUUCAAUUGUGGCACUGGAAAAUGGAGACAGGGUUAUCCUCUGGAGUUCCAAGUCAACUUGGGAGACAGUAUCCCACUGUCACCAGCCUCAUCUUCACCAUGGACUUGAUGAAGCCAUGUUAACUUUG